CAGUCGCCACGGUAAUACGGAAGGUCCAGGCGUUAUCCGGAUUUAUUGGGUUUAAAGGGAGUGUAGGCGGUCUGUUAAGGGUGUUGUGAAAUUUAGGUGCUCAACAUCUAACUUGCAGCGCGAACUGGCGGACUUGAGUGCACGCAACGUAUGCGGAAUUCAUGGUGUAGCGGUGAAAUGCUUAGAUAUCAUGACGAACUCCGAUUGCGAAGGCAGCGUACGGGAGUGUUACUGACGCUUAAGCUCGAAGGUGCGGGUAUCGAACAGGAUUAGAUACCCCAGUAGUCCCUGUCUCUUAUAC
Molecule: ribosomal RNA, 301 nt
Filed under: uncultured bacterium
Lineage: Bacteria
Description: partial 16S ribosomal RNA
Rfam family: Bacterial small subunit ribosomal RNA
Source: RNAcentral